RNAcentral lists this ribosomal RNA (460 nucleotides) under uncultured bacterium. RNAcentral describes it as "partial 16S ribosomal RNA". It matches the Rfam family "Bacterial small subunit ribosomal RNA", at positions 338 to 795 of the family's 1533-position model. The record is from RNAcentral.
CCUACGGGUGGCAGCAGUGAGGAAUAUUGGUCAAUGGGCGCGAGCCUGAACCAGCCAAGUAGCGUGAAGGAUGACUGCCCUACGGGUUGUAAACUUCUUUUAGAAAGGAAUAAAGUGAGGCACGUGUGCCUUUUUGUCUGUACUUUAUGAAUAAGGAUCGGCUAACUACGUGCCAGCAGCCGCGGGAAUACGGAGGAUCCGAGCGUUAUCCGGAUUUAUUGGGUGUAAAGGGAGCGUAGAUGGGUUGUUAAGUCAGUUGUGAAAGUUUGCGGCUCAACCGUAAAAUUGCAAUUGAUACUGGCAGUCUUGAGUACAGUUGAGGUAGGCGGAAUUCGUGGUGUAGCAGUGAAAUGCUUAGAUAUCACGAAGAACUCCGAUUGCGAAGGCAGCUUACUAAACUGCCACUGACAUUGAUGCUCGAAAGUGUGGGUAUCAAACAGGAUUAGAUACCCCUGUAGUC